RNAcentral lists this ribosomal RNA (465 nucleotides) under Phyllodoce longipes. RNAcentral describes it as "partial 16S ribosomal RNA". It matches the Rfam family "Bacterial large subunit ribosomal RNA", at positions 1862 to 2597 of the family's 2925-position model. The record is from RNAcentral. Lineage: Eukaryota; Metazoa; Annelida; Polychaeta; Phyllodocida; Phyllodocidae.
CCCGGUGUAUUAUUAACGGCCGCGGUAUCUUGACCGUGCAAAGGUAGCAUAAUAGUUUGCCUUUUAAUUGAAGGCUGGAAUGAAUGAAUAUACGAAGUCAAAGCUGUCUCAUAUCUACUUAUAGAAAUUGUUUUUUAGGUGAAGAAACCUAGAUUAUAAUGAAGGACAAAAAGACCCUAUUGAGCUUUACUUUUAAAAGAUUAAUAUUAAUCUAAUUAUUUAUACUUUAUAAAGUUUGGUUGGGGCAACAAAGGAAAAUAUAAAUCUUCCUUAAUUUUUACGAAUUAUAUUUCUUGUAAUAGAUCUAUUUAUAAUAAUAAGUAGAAAGAGUUACCAUAGGGAUAACAGGCUAAUUCUUUUGGAGAGUUCAUAUUGAUAAAAGAGUUUGGCACCUCGAUGUUGGCUUAGAAUAUCCUAUAGGUGCAGCAGUCUAUAAGGGUUGGUUUGUUCAACCAUUAAAAUUCU